CAAUAGCGUAUAUUAAAGUUGUUGCGGUUAAAAAGCUCGUAGUUGGAUCUCGGCAGGCAGGGGGUGGUUCGCUCUUAGCGCUACUGCCCCAUUUGCCUGUGUGAUUGGCGGAGGUUUCGGGGUGCUCUUCGUUGAGUGACCCGGGGCGCCGUCAGGUUUACUUUGAAAAAAUUAGAGUGCUCAAAGCAGGCUUUUCACGCUUGAAUAUUCGUGCAUGGAAUAAUGGAAUAGGAACUCGUUUCUAUUUUGUUGGUUUUCGGAAAUCGAGUUAAUGAUUAAUAGGGACAAUUGGGGGCAUUAGUAUUCAGACGACAGAGGUGAAAUUCUUGGACCGUCUGAAGACUAACUACUGCGAAAGCAUUUGCCAAGGGUGUUUUCAUUAA
Molecule: ribosomal RNA, 383 nt
Filed under: uncultured eukaryote
Lineage: Eukaryota
Description: partial 18S ribosomal RNA
Rfam family: Eukaryotic small subunit ribosomal RNA
Source: RNAcentral